GCCCGGGUAGACAAACUGGCAAAGUCCGCGCUCUUAAAAGGCGCUGCCCUUCGGGGCGUUGCGGGUUCGAGUCCCGCCCCGGGCA
This 85-nucleotide transfer RNA is filed under the name Actinomycetota bacterium. Its description in RNAcentral is "tRNA-Leu". It matches the Rfam family "tRNA". Rfam says of the family: Transfer RNA (tRNA) molecules are approximately 80 nucleotides in length. Their secondary structure includes four short double-helical elements and three loops (D, anti-codon, and T loops). Lineage: Bacteria; Bacillati; Actinomycetota. The record is from RNAcentral.